CAACCUUGUGGUGCACCUAACCGCCCCCCCCCCAUUUUCGCCAUCAGAGAGGUCAUCCUGCACACACGAAACACGUAUCGUCUGCGGCCCUCCCCCUCUCGCCUCGCCACUCAUACGCAUAAACAGACAAGGCUCCACUGCAACACCAGCAGCGAUGGACUUGGUGCAGCUGCAGCGAAUCCUCAGCACGUACGAUGAGCGUGUGGUGAAAGUCUUUGUGAGCCACAUCCCGGAACUGGGGCUGCGCAAGAUCGAUGACUGCGUCCUCGAGUACAUGCUCAAGAUGCUGGAGGGGCAGACCUCGUCGGAGUCGUACCUGCCGGAGGAGAUCAUCGAGGAGACGAUGAAGCUGUACUUCCGCGAGUUCGACGUUUUCAGCGACUGCGAAGAAAAGCUGAACAAGAGCACCGCGGCCAUCUGCCAGCAGAUGCUCAAGGAAGGUAUCACGAAGAAGCCAAGCGAGGAGUCGAGCCGGCUCGCCAGCGCCGUCAACAUCGGCCGCCAGUACGAGGAGAGUCUGAAGCGGGCCACAAUGAUCAAGAGUGUCGGCAAGGUUACGACGGCGAACACGAACGAGGACUGGACGUGGGAGACGAAGCGCAGCGCAGCCAAGGACAUGCGCAAGAAGCGCAAGGAGGAUGAGAAGAAGGCGAUGCUCGCUGAGGAAUACGAGGAGUUCCUGCGCAAGCGUGGCAUCUCCAACACGGCGGCCGUGACGAAGAUUCAUCACAAGGGCGAGGGCACGAGCUACAGCACCGACAUCCGCUGCGAGGCCAUUCACAUCCAGCUCGGGAAGCAGGUGCUACUGGACGACACGGACCUAGUGCUGCUGACAGGGCACAAGUACGGCCUCAUCGGUCGCAACGGUGCGGGUAAAACGACACUGCUGCGUGCCCUGGCAGAGCGCGAGCUGGAGGGUGUGAGUCCGUUCAUGCAGAUUCUGCACGUAGAGCAGGAGAUCGUCGCGGGGGCAGAGACGCCACUGGAGGUUCUGCUGGCCACCGAUGUCGAGCGGGCGCAGCUGCUGCGCGAGGAGCAGGAGCUGCUGAAGCAGAACGACACGGAGGCCAACGCGCGGCUGAACGAGGUGUACGCUCGACUGGACGCAAUCGACGCCCACAGCGCCGAGGCGCGCGCGGCCACCAUCCUGCAUGGCUUGAGCUUCACGCAGGAUAUGAUGACCUCGCCGACCAAGCAGCUCUCCGGUGGUUGGCGCAUGCGUGUGGCGCUAGCACGCGCUCUCUUCGUCGAGCCCGACGUGCUGCUGCUGGAUGAGCCGACGAACCACCUCGAUCUGUUCGCCGUGCUCUGGCUGGAGCAGUUCCUGAGGGACUGGCAAAAGACGCUCAUUGUCGUCUCCCACUCCCGCACCUUUCUCAACAACGUCUGCUCCGAGAUCAUCCACCUCGUGGGCCACCAUCUGCACUACUACAAUGGCAACUAUGACCAGUUCGAGAUCACGCGGGUGGAGCAGGAGCGGCAGCAGAAGAAGCAGCACGCCGCCCAGGAGAAGCAGCGGGCGCACAUUCAGGCCUUCAUCGACAAGUUUCGCUACAACGCGAACCGGGCCAAGAUGGCGCAGUCGCGCAUCAAGGCGCUUGAGCGGAUGGAGAUGGUGGCCGACGUCGUCACCGACCCGCAGUUCGCCUUCACCUUUCCGGAUGCCGAGCCGGUGUCUGGCAGCUUCAUCGAGAUGGUGGACUGCGAGUUCGGCUACAAGCCCGGCGUUAGCCUCUUCAAGGACGUAAACAUGGGCAUCGACGAGAGCUCGCGCAUCGUUCUCGUCGGCGCGAACGGCGUCGGUAAGUCGACCUUCAUGAACGUGUGCACUGGCGCUCUUGAGCCGCGCAGUGGUACGGUGGUGCGCAACAAGAAGAUCCGUGUCGCCCACUUCGCGCAGCACAACAUGGAAAGCCUUACCCCGCAGCUGUCCUCCCUCGAGUUCCUCCGCUCCAAGUUCCCGCACAUGGAGGAUCAGCAACUGCGUGCGCACCUCGGCAGCAUGGGCCUGUCAGGGGAGCGCGCGCUGCAGCCGAUCUACACCCUCUCCGGUGGACAGAAAUCGCGUCUCGUGCUCGCCUGGAUCACGUUUCAGAAGCCGCACCUGCUGCUGCUCGAUGAGCCGACGAACCACCUCGAUAUCGACACGGUGAACGCCCUCAUCGAGGCGCUUCUAGCGUACAACGGCGGGCUGCUGGUCAUCUCACACGACGAGUACUUCAUUACGUCCCUGUGCGAUGACAUCUUCGUCUGCGAAGACAACACCGUGAAGAAGUUCGAUGGUGACUUCGCGGAGUACCGCAAGCACGUCAUGAAGAUGAUGAAGUGAAAGCAGCCAACGGCCGGGGGUGUGGGGAGGGUGGGGGGCGGACGCUUGACGCUUCAAGCAAGCGGUAAGGACCCCUCUACGGGUAUGGUUUGGCGGACUGGCUGGCAAGCUGAUGAUGACCACUGCGGGACUGAAUACGAAGCAAAGACCGCACACACACACACACACACGCACGCACGCACAUACGCUUCACGUGCGUGUUGCCUCUCGGUACGGCCACUGUAGGCCAAGCUGCUCCGCCGGGUGGUGUUGGCGGCUGAUGGUGCCGCGGCAACAUCGAGCGAAAACAGGUUUUAAGUGGGCAGCUAAAAAAAUAGAUAAGAGUGAGGGACGUAGUCGCCGACGGCGCACACGUUUUGGCAAGCGCGUCCACAGACGCGGACAAGGCAUGGCGGGAGAGGGAGAGGGAGAGGAAGAAGACAGUCGUGAGGCGUGGCCGUUGUAAGUGCCGCUGGUCCGGCUAUGGCAAGAUGUGUGUGUAUGGCGGACACGUGCUUCCUGUCGCCAUGCAAGCGCGCACGUAACUGGCCCCAUGCAUCAUGUCUGUCUUGCGCAUGUUUCGCUUCAGCUGCUGGAUCGCCUGCGGGUAGGGGCCGCUGGGAACGCCCGAUGAUGUUGCCUUUGUGGACAGAGGCACGCGCGCGCUCUAGCAGCACUCAUUGCACCCCCUCCCCCUCGUGCAGAGUGCAUGCCUCCCUCCCUCCCUCCCUCUCGCGCCCUGCCACCAAGCCUCCUUGUUGCUUUCAGACGACUGCUGCCGUUCCAUGCAUUCUUCAGAGCAUCUGCGAGUGUGGGGUUGCACGGCAGCUUCUCAUGCGCGCACCAGAUGCACGGCACAUUGAUCAGCCCAUCCUCUCACUCUGCUCCUCACACUGACAUGCGCGUGCACAAAACACCGAUAG
RNAcentral lists this unclassified non-coding RNA (3231 nucleotides) under Leishmania donovani. Its description in RNAcentral is "gene:LdHU3.03.0150(CDS-product:ATP-binding_casset te_protein_subfamily_F_member_1_putative)". Lineage: Eukaryota; Euglenozoa; Kinetoplastea; Trypanosomatida; Trypanosomatidae. The record is from RNAcentral.